CUGGUGCCAGCAGCCGCGGUAAUUCCAGCUCCAAUAGCGUAUAUUAAAGUUGUUGCAGUUAAAAAGCUCGUAGUUGAAUUUCGGGGUUAGUAGGUUGGUCAUGCCUCUGGUAUGUACUGGUCUCACUGAUUCCUCCUUCCUGAUGAACCGUAAUGCCAUUAAUUUGGUGUUGCGGGGAAUUUGGACUGUUACUUGAAAAAUUAGAGUGUUUAAAGCAAGCUAACGCUUGAAUACAUUAGCAUGGAAUAAUGAAAUAGGACGUUCGAUCCUAUUUUGUUGGUUUCUAGGGAUUGACGUAAUGAUUAAUAGGGAUAGUUGGGGGCAUUAGUAUUCAAUUGUCAGAGGUGAAAUUCUUGGAUUUAUUGAAGACUAACUACUGCGAAAGCAUUUGCCAAGGAUGUUUUCAUUAAUCAAGAACGAAAGUUAGGGGGAUCGAAGACGAUCAGAUACCGUCGUAGUCUUAACCAUAAACUAUGCCGACUAGGGAUCGGAUGAUGUUAAUUUUUUAAUGACUCAUUCGGCGCCUUACG
RNAcentral lists this ribosomal RNA (530 nucleotides) under uncultured Glomus. Its description in RNAcentral is "SSU rRNA". It matches the Rfam family "Eukaryotic small subunit ribosomal RNA", at positions 561 to 1092 of the family's 1831-position model. The record is from RNAcentral. Lineage: Eukaryota; Fungi; Glomeromycota; Glomeromycetes; Glomerales; Glomeraceae.